This is a small nucleolar RNA of Arvicanthis niloticus (Nile rat), 140 nucleotides long. RefSeq annotates it as small nucleolar RNA SNORA48. The record is from RefSeq and is a predicted model, not a curated record. Lineage: Eukaryota; Metazoa; Chordata; Mammalia; Rodentia; Muridae.
CCCCUCUGGCAAUGGGCAAAGAAACAACUUGGUGGUGUUGUUCUUAUAUAGGUCAGGGGCAGAGCAGAUGGCAGUCCUUUGUUCAUCCUAGCUUGAUGCCUGGCUUGGUGGCCAAGAUGGUUUAUGCCUAGGACACAUAA